Aedes albopictus (Asian tiger mosquito) is the source of this 58-nucleotide non-coding RNA. Lineage: Eukaryota; Metazoa; Arthropoda; Insecta; Diptera; Culicidae. The record is from Rfam.
UAGCCUACUGGUUAAGGCUUUGAAUCGCCAAUUCGGAGACGGCGGGUUCGAUUCCCGU